GGGAUAGCCUGUCUGGUGUCGUCCUCUGGCAAGUCCCACUUCCCGGGUUUGCGUCUGUUACGGUCUGCUGGUGGGUUGCUUCCUCCUCUGCCUGUAUUUCUUGGACAGUUGCUCUAAAGCUCGAUUGGAUUCAGGCUCAGUUCCUUCAGUAUAUUUGUGUUCGUGGGUGCCUACACUAGUGUGGGGCUACUCACUUCUGUGUCACAUGGAGAGGCCCAG
This 219-nucleotide long non-coding RNA is filed under the name Homo sapiens (human). RNAcentral describes it as "LHRI_LNC716.1". The record is from RNAcentral. Lineage: Eukaryota; Metazoa; Chordata; Mammalia; Primates; Hominidae.